This 424-nucleotide long non-coding RNA is filed under the name Manihot esculenta (cassava). Its description in RNAcentral is "long non-coding RNA (MESC_LNC003840)". The record is from RNAcentral. Lineage: Eukaryota; Viridiplantae; Streptophyta; Magnoliopsida; Malpighiales; Euphorbiaceae.
UCAUCCCUUCCACGAGCUUUAUUCCCUCGUACACUGCUCACAGCUCAGCUCCCAAAAUGCUAGUAAUUUUGAAAUGAACAGCGAAUCCCUUCAACCAUUCUCCCUUAUGGUUUCAAAUAAGACCUCCUGUUAUUGCACUAUUAGAUUCCUUUCUCCAGGAUGCACUAUAUUGACUUGAAAAACAGUUUCACUGGUGGUGUCCAUGCUACCCACACAAGACCAAAUGUAUUGUACAUCAGUGCUCCAUGGAUCUUCUUCCAGACCCUGUCGUAGUCGUAUGCUUGAAUUUUAGCCUGUUACACUAUAUAUUGUAGUCCUGCAAUAAAGUCUCCAAAGAUUACAUUAUGUUUUCUUUUUCAGAGAUUCCAACCCAACAUAUGAUCCCGAGUAAGACAUUUCAUGUCUGGCCGUUCACAUCCAGACU